This is a small nuclear RNA of Dipodomys spectabilis (banner-tailed kangaroo rat), 186 nucleotides long. RefSeq annotates it as U2 spliceosomal RNA. The record is from RefSeq and is a predicted model, not a curated record. Lineage: Eukaryota; Metazoa; Chordata; Mammalia; Rodentia; Heteromyidae. The transcript has a single exon.
AUCACUUCUCUGCCUUUUGACUAAGAGCAAGUGUAGUAUCUGUUCAGUUUAAUAUCUGAUAUGUCCUCUAUCCAAGGACAAUAUAUUAAAUGGAUUUUUAACACUAGGAGAUGAAAUAGAAGCUUGCUCUGUCCACUCCAUGCAUCGACCUAGUUUUGCAGUACUUCCAGGAAUGGUGCACUCCCC